Penaeus vannamei (Pacific white shrimp) is the source of this 1805-nucleotide long non-coding RNA. RefSeq lists it as uncharacterized. NCBI's taxonomy places the organism in Eukaryota, Metazoa, Arthropoda, Malacostraca, Decapoda, Penaeidae. The record is from RefSeq and is a predicted model, not a curated record.
CCGGCGCGUCUCCCGCGUAGAGUCUUGAGUAGACAGCCAGUGUGGUGUUGGAAGUGGGAGAGGAAGCAUGCGUGGCAUUUUCGCGCGCCUAACAACUUGAAUGCCUUCGAAAGCUCUGCUGAAGGGACGUGACGAGGUGCCCACAGGAAAAUGCCGCUUCUACGCGCAUAGACUCCCAAGAUGACGCCAGAAUUACGUCAUCAGGUCGCGCUAUAUCCCCAAUCAGAGACGAAGCGCGAGCAGGUGAUCAGCGUGGAUUGGCGAAUCACGUUGGCGGCAAAUGCACGAGGAAAUUUAGAAGGGCAGAGGAAAUUCCCAGCAUGGAGUGGUUUGUUUUCGGACUAUCAAGGACCCAGGCCAUCUUCGCUGUCAAAAAGGACAUGAAGAGAUUUACUGCCACUUCAGGACACCAGAGACGGCUGACGUGUCGCGGACAGACGAGACCGGCGUUGAUGAGACAAUAAUUGCGUGGUUUUAUUUUUCGCUUCAGUUGUCCCUUUCUUACAUACCGUUUCCGUUCUGCGUUUUAUAGGGUGGAUUACCUUUUCAGAAGAGACAAUACAAAUAUUUUCUUUUUGGGUAGUCUGAAGUAAUUCAUGUGAUCAGUUUCGAAUGCUUGAUUUUUCUAUCAGUUCUUGAUUCUUGACAUUAAAAAGAAAGAGAAAAAAAAACAUUUGUUACACAUACAAAGAGCAACAACAAUGUUUGUGGCACACCUAUCAGGCUUCUCAGAGGCGGAGGAACCGGAGGUGAAAGGCGCUUCCACGACUUUCCUGGUGUUCCUUUACCUCCUCCUCUCCCUCCUGCUCUUCAACCUCGAGGUCGUCCACGUCCUUCGCUCGUCGCUCGCGUCCUUCACCUACUGGAUGAGGGCGUCCUACGUGGAAGCUCAUCCUGGGUCUGAAAAUGCCGCGCUUCCUGCGUCGACCUUCGCGCUCUCCUCCUCUUCCUUUCCUCUUCAUCCACCCUCCUCCACCGCCACCCGGUCUCCCUCCCUUCUUUCCUCCUCCUCCUCUACCUUUUCGUCCCCCUCUUCUAUUUCCAGCGACAGUUCUACCUUGUUACUCUCCCCCUACUCUUCCUCCCCUGUCCGUCCUCGACCCACGGCCUCCACUGCGCAUUUUGGAACCCCGAGCCUCCCCGCUUUCCCUCCUUCUGCUUCCACCAGUUCUUCUCCCUCAGCACCUCGCCCCGCUUCAGAACCGAGAUGACGUUUCUUCGGCAGCUUGAAACGUGUCGAUGCUUGUCUGAAUGAUAUGAUUACUGCCAUCAUUAUGUCUAGUCACGUCUUCAUAGUCUUUGUUCUUUCAAAAUGACAUUGGCCUGUAUUUACGUAUGUGUUCAUGUGUGCCUUUUGCAGAGGGAUAAUGAAAUUAGUAUAGAACACAUGCAUGGAAAGGAAUGUAUGCUCGAUUUUCCUUUCUCUCCCUAUCUUCUCUGCUAAAGUGGGUUGCUUAGGUUUGAUUUCUCGAAUUUAUUUUAUUUUUUAAAAUGAUUUCGAAUUAGCAGCUAUGCAGUGUAAGAAUCAGUUUAGAUAUGAUUAUGACCAUCGUCCAUGCACUAGACACUGGGUUACACUGCUUGUGUCUUAGCGUAUGUAUAUACAUGUAUUUAUAUAUUUAUAUUUCUAUCCUUAUGUACGUAGUAUAACUUAAUACCUGUUUGGGUCUUUGGAAAGAAAUGAAGUUUAUUCUUGAUAAUGACCUUGCCAUUCUGAGAGGCAAGUCAUAAUCGACUCAGUGCAAUGUCACAUCGAUGCAAAAACAUAUUGUCUUAAUGUCUUGACCAAUAAAUCUCAAUAAUAA